This 74-nucleotide transfer RNA is filed under the name Asanoa ferruginea. RNAcentral's name for it is "tRNA-Arg". The record is from RNAcentral. Lineage: Bacteria; Bacillati; Actinomycetota; Actinomycetes; Micromonosporales; Micromonosporaceae.
CGGCCGAGUGGGUGGGACUGCAGAACUACGAUCUCCUCAGUCAUGAUCCCGCGUUCCGCGCCGCGGUCGGCCAC